RNAcentral lists this ribosomal RNA (450 nucleotides) under uncultured Glomeromycotina. RNAcentral's name for it is "SSU rRNA". It matches the Rfam family "Eukaryotic small subunit ribosomal RNA", at positions 569 to 1023 of the family's 1831-position model. The record is from RNAcentral. Lineage: Eukaryota; Fungi; Glomeromycota.
AGCAGCCGCGGUAAUUCCAGCUCCAAUAGCGUAUAUUAAAGUUGUUGCAGUUAAAAAGCUCGUAGUUGAAUUUCGGGGUCAAUACGUCGGUCGUGCCUUUGGUACGUACUGGUGUUAUUGAUCUCUCCCUUCUGAUGAAUCAUGAUGUCAUUAAUUUGGUGUCGUGGGGAGUCAGGACUGUUACUUUGAAAAAAUUAGAGUGUUUAAAGCAGGCUUACGCUUGAAUACAUUAGCAUGGAAUAAUGAAAUAGGACGUUCGAUCCUAUUUUGUUGGUUUCUAGGAUCAACGUAAUGAUUAAUAGGGAUAGUUGGGGGCAUUAGUAUUCAAUUGUCAGAGGUGAAAUUCUUGGAUUUAUUGAAGACUAACUACUGCGAAAGCAUUUGCCAAGGAUGUUUUCAUUAAUCAAGAACGAAAGUUAGGGGAUCGAAGACGAUCAGAUACCGUCGUAG